GAUGAACGCUGGCGGCGUGCCUAAUACAUGCAAGUCGAGCGAACGGACGAGAAGCUUGCUUCUCUGAUGUUAGCGGCGGACGGGUGAGUAACACGUGGAUAACCUACCUAUAAGACUGGGAUAACUUCGGGAAACCGGAGCUAAUACCGGAUAAUAUUUUGAACCGCAUGGUUCAAAAGUGAAAGACGGUCUUGCUGUCACUUAUAGAUGGAUCCGCGCUGCAUUAGCUAGUUGGUAAGGUAACGGCUUACCAAGGCAACGAUGCAUAGCCGACCUGAGAGGGUGAUCGGCCACACGGGAACUGAGACACGGUCCAGACUCCUACGGGAGGCGGCAGUAGGGAAUCUUCCGCAAUGGGCGAAAGCCUGACGGAGCAACGCCGCGUGAGUGAUGAAGGUCUUCGGAUCGUAAAACUCUGUUAUUAGGGAAGAACAUAUGUGUAAGUAACUGUGCACAUCUUGACGGUACCUAAUCAGAAAGCCACGGCUAACUACGUG
RNAcentral lists this ribosomal RNA (497 nucleotides) under uncultured bacterium. Its description in RNAcentral is "partial 16S ribosomal RNA". It matches the Rfam family "Bacterial small subunit ribosomal RNA", at positions 28 to 507 of the family's 1533-position model. The record is from RNAcentral.